UACGUAGGGUGCGAGCGUUGUCCGGAAUUACUGGGCGUAAAGAGCUCGUAGGUGGUUUGUCGCGUUGUUCGUGAAAACUCACGGCUUAACUGUGAGCGUGCGGGCGAUACGGGCAGACUGGAGUACUGCAGGGGAGACUGGAAUUCCUGGUGUAGCGGUGGAAUGCGUAGAGAUCCGGAAGAACACCGGUGGCGAAGGCGGUCUGCUGGGGUAAUGCUGACACUGAUGCGCGACAGCGUGGGGAGCAAACAGG
This 253-nucleotide ribosomal RNA is filed under the name uncultured bacterium. RNAcentral describes it as "partial 16S ribosomal RNA". It matches the Rfam family "Bacterial small subunit ribosomal RNA", at positions 524 to 776 of the family's 1533-position model. The record is from RNAcentral.